RNAcentral lists this ribosomal RNA (157 nucleotides) under Teuvoa tibetica. RNAcentral's name for it is "5.8S ribosomal RNA". It matches the Rfam family "5.8S ribosomal RNA". Rfam says of the family: 5.8S ribosomal RNA (5.8S rRNA) is a component of the large subunit of the eukaryotic ribosome. RNAcentral also lists the same sequence under 9 other names. The record is from RNAcentral. Lineage: Eukaryota; Fungi; Ascomycota; Lecanoromycetes; Pertusariales; Megasporaceae.
AAACUUUCAACAACGGAUCUCUUGGCUCUGGCAUCGAUGAAGAACGCAGCGAAAUGCGAUAAGUAAUGUGAAUUGCAGAAUUCAGUGAAUCAUCGAAUCUUUGAACGCACAUUGCGCCCUCUGGUAUUCCGGGGGGCAUGCCUGUUCGAGCGUCAUU